RNAcentral lists this ribosomal RNA (253 nucleotides) under uncultured bacterium. Its description in RNAcentral is "partial 16S ribosomal RNA". It matches the Rfam family "Bacterial small subunit ribosomal RNA", at positions 524 to 776 of the family's 1533-position model. The record is from RNAcentral.
UACGUAGGGUGCAAGCGUUGUCCGGAAUUAUUGGGCGUAAAGAGCUCGUAGGCGGUUUGUCGCGUCGACUGUGAAAACCCGAGGCUUAACCUCGGGCCUGCAGUCGAUACGGGCAGACUAGAGUUCGGUAGGGGAGACUGGAAUUCCUGGUGUAGCGGUGAAAUGCGCAGAUAUCAGGAGGAACACCAAUGGCGAAGGCAGCUCGCUGGGACGGUACUGACGCUGAGACGCGAAAGCGUGGGGAGCAAACAGG